CGCCAUUUUGACAUCACAUCGAGCUGGUGGCCUAACUUUUAUAAGAACAUGUUUUUCGCUAUGGCAGCUUACUUCAGUAUUUCUUAGUACAAUAACUUUUUUUUGUUAAAUAGAUCAAUAUUUGUUUGACAAUUCUACAAGACUUUUUGAUGUAGAAGAUCCACAAUACUAUAAUAACUAUAGAGCAUACUAACUUGUAUCACUGCAAACCAUGAUAUAGAAGACUAACUCUGAUUUGAGACCUAAAAAUUAAAAAAGUAAAAAUGAAUCACCAAAAGAAAGAAGAGGUUUUAAAAGAACAUAUUUAUGUUAGAAAGAAAAUUUAGGAAAACUCAACAUUUUUC
This 344-nucleotide long non-coding RNA is filed under the name Durio zibethinus. RNAcentral's name for it is "long non-coding RNA (DZIB_LNC001662)". Lineage: Eukaryota; Viridiplantae; Streptophyta; Magnoliopsida; Malvales; Malvaceae. The record is from RNAcentral.